RNAcentral lists this ribosomal RNA (613 nucleotides) under uncultured bacterium. Its description in RNAcentral is "bacterial SSU rRNA". The stretch from base 1 to 537 matches the Rfam family "Bacterial small subunit ribosomal RNA", at positions 338 to 873 of the family's 1533-position model. The record is from RNAcentral.
CCUACGGGAGGCAGCAGUGGGGAAUUUUGGACAAUGGGCGAAAGCCUGAUCCAGCAAUGCCGCGUGUGGGAAGAAGGCCUUCGGGUUGUAAACCACUUUUGUACGGAACGAAACGGUUCGCUUUAAUACAGUGGGCUAAUGACGGUACCGUAAGAAUAAGCACCGGCUAACUACGUGCCAGCAGCCGCGGUAAUACGUAGGGUGCGAGCGUUAAUCGGAAUUACUGGGCGUAAAGCGUGCGCAGGCGGUUGUAUAAGACAGUUGUGAAAUCCCCGGGCUCAACCUGAGAAUUGCAUCUGUGACUGUAUAGCUAGAGUACGGUAGAGGGGGAUGGAAUUCCGCGUGUAGCAGUGAAAUGCGUAGAUAUGCGGAGGAACACCGAUGGCGAAGGCAAUCCCCUGGACCUGUACUGACGCUCAUGCACGAAAGCGUGGGGAGCAAACAGGAUUAGAUACCCUGGUAGUCCACGCCCUAAACGAUGUCAACUGGUUNUUGGGUGNNUAGUACUCAGUACGAAGAUACGCGUGAGUAGACGCCGUGGAGGUACGGCCGCGAGUAGUAACGUAAAGUAAGUAGAGGCGNGAGAGUGCGACGACGACGACGAGGGAGGAGG